CAGGUUAUCAUGGCACAGAGGUAUAUCUACUCUCCAUGGUGUCUAACACCAGGUUAUCAUGGCACAGAGCUAUAUCUACUCUCUAUGGUGUCUAACACCAGGUUAUCAUGGCACAGAGCUAUAUCUACUCUCCAUGGUGUCUAACACCAGGUUAUCAUGGCACAGAGCUAUAUCUACUCUCCAUGGUGUCUAACACCAGGUUAUCAUGGCACAGAGGUAUAUCUACUCUCCAUGGUGUCUAACACCAGGUUAUCAUGACACAGAGGUAUAUCUACUCUCCAUGGUGUCUAACACCAGGUUAUCAUGGCACAGAGCUAUAUCUACUCUCCAUGGUGUCUAACACCAGGUUAUCAUGGCACAGAGUUGUCUCUACUCUCCAUUGGGUUCUUUACACCAGGUUAUCCUGGCACAGAGCUAUAUCUACUAUCCAUGGCGUCUAACACCAGGUUAUCAUGACACAGAGCUAUAUCUACUCUCCAUGGUGUCUAACACCAGGUUAUCAUGGCACAGAGCUAUAUCUACUCUCCAUGGUGUCUAACACCAGGUUAUCAUGGCACAGAGCUAUAUCUACUCUCCAUGGUGUCUAACACCAGGUUAUCAUGGCACAGAGCUAUAUCUACUCUCCAGGGUGUCUAACACCAGGUUAUCAUGACACAGAGGUAUUUCUAUUCUCCAUGGUGUCUAACACCAGGUUAUCAUGACACAGAGGUAUAUCUACUCUCCAUGGUGUCUAACACCAGGUUAUCAUGGCACAGAGCUAUAUCUACUCUCCAUGGUGUCUAACACCAGGUUAUCAUGGCACAGAGCUAUAUCUACUCUCCAUAGUGUCUAACACCAGGUUAUCAUGGCACAGAGCUAUAUCUACUCUCCAUGGUGUCUAACACCAGGUUAUCAUGGCACAGAGUUAUAUCUACUCUCCAUGGUGUCUAACACAAGGUUAUCAUGACACAGAGCUAUAUCUACUCUCAAUGGUGUCUAACACCAGGUUAUCAUGGCACAGAGGUAUAUCUACUCUCCAUGGUGUCUAACACCAGGUUAUCAUGGCACAGAGCUAUAUCUACUCUCCAUGAUGUUUAGCCCGGUACAUGGCUGCUUGCAUGACGCAUGGUUAUCAUGGCCAAAGUCGACCAGUCAGUAAAUGUAGGGACGUUAGUUGAUUACAAGACAAGCUCACUAAUACAAGAGAAAUAAACACUGAAAUUGAAAUAAAUGAUUAAAUAUUAAGUAUAUCGUUACAAAGAAACCGUAAAAGCCGAUUAACGGGAUCGGGUGGUCAGACUCGAUGACAUGGUUGAUGCUCAUGAUGUCAAUCACUGGAUCGUCUGGCCAUGACUCGAUUAUUUACAGAUCGCCGUCAUAUGGCUGGAAUAUUGCUGAUUGUGGCGUUAAACAACAAACAAACAAGCAAAAAAAAAGCUGAACAUAAACACGCUCUACAGGUCCAGGCAGCUGUUUCACCUUGUUACCGGAUAAAGAUUGUGUGAUUCCUGAGCAGACAGUGAGGGCGCAUUAUUCCAUGAUCUCUUGCUCUGUGUGUUCCUGGGGCAUAGACUAUUUGAACAAUAUGUUGCGUUUUUGCGUAAAAUUGGUAAGUUUGAACCAGUCCAAUAGACCAUGGGAUCGAUUGUGUUUGUACAUAAAAUAAAAUAAUAAUAAUGCA
Molecule: long non-coding RNA, 1660 nt
Organism: Haliotis rufescens (red abalone)
Lineage: Eukaryota; Metazoa; Mollusca; Gastropoda; Lepetellida; Haliotidae
Exons: 2
Source: RefSeq, a predicted model, not a curated record